GACGACGGCUGGGCGGCGUGGAUUAGGCAUGCAAGUCGAACGGUAUCAUCCUUUCGGGGGUGAGAGAGUGGCGAACUGGUGAGUAACACGUAGGUUAUCUACCCUCAAGACGGGGACAACCCAGGGAAACUUGGGCUAAUACCGGAUGUGAGCAACUUUUAGUUGUUUGAAAGGUGGCGUAAGCUGUCGCUUGGGGAUGAGCCUGCGUCCUAUUAGUUAGUUGGUGAGGUAACGGCUCACCUAGGCAAUGAUAGGUAGGCGGCCUUAACGGGUGGUCGCCCACACUGGGAUUGAGAUACGGCCCAGACUCCUACGGGAGGCAGCAGUAAGGAAUAUUGGGCAAUGGAGGCAACUCUGACCCAGCCAUGCCGCGUGCAGGAAGACGGCCCUACGGGUUGUAAACUGCUUUUAAUAGGGAGUAAGGUUAGUUACGUGUAACUAAUUGCAAGUACCUAUAGAAUAAGGAUCGGCUAACUCCGUG
This 481-nucleotide ribosomal RNA is filed under the name uncultured bacterium. RNAcentral describes it as "bacterial SSU rRNA". It matches the Rfam family "Bacterial small subunit ribosomal RNA", at positions 38 to 507 of the family's 1533-position model. The record is from RNAcentral.